CGGGUGCACUGAUCCAGCCGGGCCUUUCCCUCUGUGGAACCCCAUGGCCUUCACUGGCUGUGGCGGGGAAACAGGACUUUUACUUUGAAAAAAUUAGAGUGCUCCAGGCAGGCCUAUGCUCGAAUACAUUAGCAUGGAAUAAUAGAAUAGGACGUGUGGUUCUAUUUUGUUGGUUUCUAGGACCGCCGUAAUGAUUAAUAGGGACAGUCGGGGGCAUCAGUAUUCAAUUGUCAGAGGUGAAAUUCUUGGAUCUAUUGAAGACUAACUACUGCGAAAGCAUUUGCCAAGGGUGUUUUCAUUGAUAAGGAACGAAAGUUAGGGGAUCGAAGACGAUCAGAUACCGUCGUAGUCUUAACUAUAAACUAUGCCGACUAGGGAUCGGACGAUGUUAUUCUUUGACGCGUUCGGCACCUUUCGAGAAAUCAAAGUGCUUGGGCUCCAGGGGGAGUAUGGUCGCAAGGCUGAAACUUAAAGAAAUUGACGGAAGGGCACCACCAGGGGUGGAACCUGCGGCUUAAUUUGACUCAACACGGGGAAACUCACCAGGUCCAGACACAGUGAGGAUUGACAGAUUGAGAGCUCUUUCUUGAUUCUGUGGGUGGUGGUGCAUGGCCGUUCUUAGUUGGUGGAGUGAUUUGUCUGCUUAAUUGCGAUAACGAACGAGACCUUAACCUGCUAAAUAGCCCGUACUGCUUUGGCAGUUCGCCGGCUUCUUAGAGGGACUAUCGG
RNAcentral lists this ribosomal RNA (729 nucleotides) under uncultured eukaryote. RNAcentral's name for it is "SSU rRNA". It matches the Rfam family "Eukaryotic small subunit ribosomal RNA", at positions 670 to 1426 of the family's 1831-position model. The record is from RNAcentral.